UACAGAGGGUGCAAGCGUUAAUCGGAAUUACUGGGCGUAAAGCGCGCGUAGGCGGUUGCGUAAGUUGGAGGUGAAAUCCCCGGGCUCAACCUGGGCAUUGCCUUCAAAACUGCGCAGCUAGAGUAUUGGAGAGGAAGGUAGAAUUCCAGGUGUAGCGGUGAAAUGCGUAGAGAUCUGGAGGAAUACCGAUGGCGAAGGCA
RNAcentral lists this ribosomal RNA (200 nucleotides) under uncultured bacterium. RNAcentral's name for it is "partial 16S ribosomal RNA". It matches the Rfam family "Bacterial small subunit ribosomal RNA", at positions 524 to 723 of the family's 1533-position model. The record is from RNAcentral.